UAUCAAAAUCUUCAAGAUCUAUAUCGACCAAAAUUAAUAACUAUCCUUCCUUACUUACUUAGGACAUACAUAAUAGUUAUUAAUCUUGGUUGGUUUA
Molecule: microRNA precursor, 97 nt
Filed under: Plutella xylostella (diamondback moth)
Lineage: Eukaryota; Metazoa; Arthropoda; Insecta; Lepidoptera; Plutellidae
Description: microRNA pxy-mir-8538 precursor
Source: miRBase by way of RNAcentral